GGGUCGUUAGCUCAGUCGGUAGAGCAGUUGGCUUUUAACCAAUUGGUCGCUGGUUCGAAUCCAGCACGACCCA
This is a non-coding RNA of Cellvibrio sp. BR, 73 nucleotides long. The record is from Rfam. NCBI's taxonomy places the organism in Bacteria, Pseudomonadati, Pseudomonadota, Gammaproteobacteria, Cellvibrionales, Cellvibrionaceae.